UUUGACUAUAACUCGCAUGCCUUUGGAUGUGGAGGAAGGUCGCACGCCCACGGCUGUAAGAAGCUUCCCUGGGUGGCUGUGGAGUGGAGGAGUACUUGGCCUUCCUCGGUAACCUGGUCUCGGCACAGAUGGUAUUCCUUCCCAAGAGUGACCGUCUCCGAGGGAGAAGUCAAUAUCUCAGUUUCUGACGAUGAGGAUGAGAUGAGGCCCAGAAAGAUACAUUGAGAAACAUCCAUAUGUUGCAGACAGCACAUGGAACAGGAUGCCAGUACUUACCACAGUCAGAUAAGGAGACUAAACCUGAUACACGG
Molecule: long non-coding RNA, 311 nt
Organism: Thalassophryne amazonica
Lineage: Eukaryota; Metazoa; Chordata; Actinopteri; Batrachoidiformes; Batrachoididae
Exons: 4
Source: RefSeq, a predicted model, not a curated record